GUGUCAGCCGCCGCGGUAAUACGUAGGGUGCAAGCGUUAAUCGGAAUUACUGGGCGUAAAGCGUGCGCAGGCGGUUGGGCAAGACAGAUGUGAAAUCCCCGGGCUCAACCUGGGAAUGGCAUUUGUGACUGUCCGGCUAGAGUGUGUCAGAGGGGGGUAGAAUUCCACGUGUAGCAGUGAAAUGCGUAGAGAUGUGGAGGAAUACCGAUGGCGAAGGCAGCCCCCUGGGAUAACACUGACGCUCAUGCACGAAAGCGUGGGGAGCAAACAGGAUUAGAUACCCCUGUAGUCC
This 292-nucleotide ribosomal RNA is filed under the name uncultured bacterium. RNAcentral describes it as "partial 16S ribosomal RNA". It matches the Rfam family "Bacterial small subunit ribosomal RNA", at positions 505 to 796 of the family's 1533-position model. The record is from RNAcentral.